GUCUCUACUCGGAUUGGUUUUGGACCAGAGCAAGGAGCACGGAGCCGAGGCCCUCUUUCCCCCUGCCUUAUUGUUGACUGCCAUUUUCCUUUGUGCCCUAGCAUCGUCGAUUUUUCCUCCGACCUUCCAGGCCGAAGAUGCCGCGAGCCUAGCACCAAUUUAUCUCUCUGUUUAUCGGCAAGAACACACGGGUCCUGGCUUUGGGCAGCGCCACAGUACCAGUUUUCGGAUAUCGAAUUCUUCUUUCUCUCAUUGAUCUGGAUUGGAGAUUAGGGAUUUCAAUCUGCUGCGGCUGAUCUUGGUUCAGCUGAGGGUUUUAAGGAGGAAGCUGUUAAGGACUUUGACGCGAGACGAGCAUCUUGAUGUCGAGUUUGGACCGGAUACGAUUCUUUCC
This is a long non-coding RNA of Zingiber officinale, 394 nucleotides long. RefSeq lists it as uncharacterized. The transcript has 3 exons. NCBI's taxonomy places the organism in Eukaryota, Viridiplantae, Streptophyta, Magnoliopsida, Zingiberales, Zingiberaceae. The record is from RefSeq and is a predicted model, not a curated record.